Non-coding RNA from Ktedonobacter sp. 13_2_20CM_2_56_8, 165 nucleotides. The record is from Rfam. NCBI's taxonomy places the organism in Bacteria, Bacillati, Chloroflexota, Ktedonobacteria, Ktedonobacterales, Ktedonobacteraceae.
AAGAGGCAGUUCCUUGCCGGAGGAAACGGCCAUACCUCCGAGGCUGAGACUCCUGCAUGCGUCCGAUGCUGAUACAUCGGAGGUAUGAAGCCAGGUAAAGUCGUAAUCCAAGUAGCCUACGUCCUCGCAAGAGGAUAAGGCCAAAGUGAUGCGGGCCGUCAGUAG